Molecule: long non-coding RNA, 1574 nt
Filed under: Vulpes vulpes (red fox)
Lineage: Eukaryota; Metazoa; Chordata; Mammalia; Carnivora; Canidae
Description: lncRNA (ENSVVUG00000023582.1)
Source: RNAcentral
GCGUCUUCGUUGCGCGCUCCCGGAGAGGCGGCCAGGGUGAAGGCGGGUGAACGCGCUGGGGGUGGGGGUGAGGUCGGCAAAGGGGUCCCAGCUGGGCGGCCCUGCUCUGACGGUGCGUUGCCCCAACUCAGGUCCUGGGGGGACGACAGGAAAUGGUUCGAGGUCUGGGAUGAAGACACUGUGGGGACGUUUUCAAACUUGGACUCGGAGAACAACCGAACAGGGCAGAAGCGAACUUCGUGUACCUGGAGCAGGGAGUCUCCCCUUCCCUGGGAACCUCCUGAAGACGGCCCAGGUCCUGGACUGGCCAUCCCUACAAGACAGGCACCGCGACACAGGAGCCCCCCUGCCAGGCCUUGCCUUCCCCACCUUUCUUGCCCCUUCUCUCCUCUCUUUCCUCCUGUUCCUUUUUCUCUCUCUCUAGUCAAGGAUGAAUACCUCCAGGCGGCCUUGAAGAAUGUGGACACCAAUGUGAGGGUGCACAUCCAGAGACCUGAGGUGGCCUCGCCCUUGCCGUCAGUCCUGCACUUCAUGAACCUCUACCCUGCCUCGGACAGUGAGAAGAAACUGAACCACAUCUAUUUCAAGGGAUUGCCCAAGGACUCAUGCAGCUCUGUCUCCUGGUUUCCUGGAGCAAAAUCAGACUAUCUCCCCGACCCUCAUCCUUCUCCCCACUUGGGUGAAACUCACCUGGAGAUCCAGUUCAAAUCCAGACUCUUCUACUGUGGGACCUUGGUCAAGUCAGUAACUUCUCUGAACCUGCAAAAUGAGUAGAGCAUACUUGUCCUGAUAUCUCGUAGUUACUGUGAAAACCAGAGGUGUUGUAAGAUCUCUAUCCCAGUGCACCUCCUGUAUCAGCCCUGUGCUUAUAGGUGGUCUCUCUCAGAUCCCCAGCCCCAGAUCCUUCCAGGGACUCAGACCUCGGUCUCUGUUCUCUCCUGCGGUCUCUGUUCUCUCAUGCGCAUCCCUGUGCCUGUUCCCCACCUGCAUCUAUAACCAUCCUCCUACCUGCUCCUUGCUCCCACCUUCAAAUCUUCUCCCCCUGUGAACCCACUUCUUAAAUCACUCCCCAUCCCAGUGCCCAGCCCCAAGUCUGUUCCCAUUUGUUUCCGCCCCCAUUCUUAUAAUCUCAGCCCUAAAUCUUUAUCCCUUCCCCCAUCCCAGGGCCCCAGUCUUAAAUCCUCCCUCCUCCCUCCACAUGCCAUUCCCAGCUAGGUAUGGAUGUCCUCUGCCUCUCAAGUCCCCUAGCUGGUGCUUCCCAGGCCCUGGUCUGCCAUUCUGAGGCCCCAUUCCCCCUUCUUGCUCUGAAGGGCCUGGAUCUCAGUUUUCUGGGGCCUCAACGGGAAGCAGAAGCAGGGCCCUGAGGUGGAGAAGCCCCCUCAGCCCUUUGUCCUCAUUCCCCCUUCCCUCUGAUCCCCUAUGACCUCACCCUCCCCACCACUCCCCUUUCCUCUCUUGGCCUCACCCCCAUGGCUGCAGUAACCUCAGAGGUCAGAAGUCCCCAGCCCUCUUCACAGGAACAUGUCUUUUGGGGAAGAAAGUCUUGCAGCCUCCAGUUCUCCCAUGUGAACACA